RNAcentral lists this long non-coding RNA (202 nucleotides) under Mytilus galloprovincialis (Mediterranean mussel). The record is from RNAcentral. Lineage: Eukaryota; Metazoa; Mollusca; Bivalvia; Mytilida; Mytilidae.
GUAAAAAUGUUCAUUAGGUCAAAAUCUAUCAGCCCUGAAAUUUUCAGAUGAAUCAAACAAACCAUUGUUGGGUUGCUGCCACUUAAUUGGUAAUUUUAAGGAAAUUUUGCAGUUUUUGGUCAUUAUCUUGAAUAUUAUUAUAGAUAAAGAUAAACUGUAAACAGCAAAAAUGAUCAGCAAAGAAAGAUCUACAAAUAAGUUA